This 430-nucleotide ribosomal RNA is filed under the name Pseudomonadota bacterium. RNAcentral describes it as "Proteobacteria bacterium partial 16S ribosomal RNA". It matches the Rfam family "Bacterial small subunit ribosomal RNA", at positions 355 to 776 of the family's 1533-position model. Lineage: Bacteria; Pseudomonadati; Pseudomonadota. The record is from RNAcentral.
UGGGGAAUAUUGGACAAUGGGGGGAACCCUGAUCCAGCCAUGCCGCGUGUGUGAAGAAGGCCUUAUGGUUGUAAAGCACUUUAAGCGAGGGGGAGGGUACUGGUAUUAAUACUACCAGGUACUGGACGUUACUCGCAGAAUAAGCACCGGCUAACUCUGUGCCAGCAGCCGCGGUAAUACAGAGGGUGCGAGCGUUAAUCGGAUUUACUGGGCGUAAAGCGUGCGUAGGCGGCUAAUUGAGUCGGAUGUGAAAUCCCCGAGCUUAACUUGGGAAUUGCAUUCGAUACUGGUUAGCUAGAGUGUGGGAGAGGAUGGUAGAAUUCCAGGUGUAGCGGUGAAAUGCGUAGAGAUCUGGAGGAAUACCGAUGGCGAAGGCAGCCAUCUGGCCUAACACUGACGCUGAGGUACGAAAGCAUGGGGAGCAAACAGG